UACAGAGGCUCCAAGCGUUAUCCGGUUUCACUGGGCGUAAAGCGUUCCGAUAGGUUGUUUAAUGUGUCAAAUGUAAAAUACCGGAGCUCAACUCCGUGUCUGCAUUCGAAACUAUUAGACUAGAGGUGCAAAGAAGUAGCUGGAACUGUGUAAGUAGGGGUAAAAUCCGUUGAUAUGCAUAGGAACACCAAAAGCGAAAGCAGGCUACUAAGUGCAUCCUGACACUUCUAGGACGAAAGCGUGGGUAGCGAAUAGG
RNAcentral lists this ribosomal RNA (256 nucleotides) under uncultured bacterium. RNAcentral's name for it is "partial 16S ribosomal RNA". It matches the Rfam family "Bacterial small subunit ribosomal RNA", at positions 524 to 776 of the family's 1533-position model. The record is from RNAcentral.